AUCUUGCGCAAUCGGCGAAAGCCUGACGCAGCCACGCCGCGUGAAUGAUGAAGGUCUUAGGAUUGUAAAAUUCUUUCCCCGGGGACGAUAAUGACGGUACCCGGACAAGAAGCCCCGGCUAACUUCGUGCCAGCAGCCGCGGUAAUACGAAGGGGGCUAGCGUUGCUCGGAAUUACCGGGCGUAAAGGGCGCGUAGGCGGAUCGUUAAGUCGGGGGUGAAAUCCCGGGGCUCAACCUCGGAACUGCCCUUGAUACUGGCGAUCUUGAGUAUGAGAGGGGUAUGUGGAACUCCGAGUGUAGAGGUGAAAUUCGUAGAUAUUCGGAAGAACACCAGUGGCGAAGGCGACAUACUGGCUCAUUACUGACGCUGAGGCGCGAAAGCGUGGGGAGCAAACA
RNAcentral lists this ribosomal RNA (396 nucleotides) under uncultured bacterium. Its description in RNAcentral is "partial 16S ribosomal RNA". It matches the Rfam family "Bacterial small subunit ribosomal RNA", at positions 361 to 774 of the family's 1533-position model. The record is from RNAcentral.